CAACGGACAUCCAUGGACUGACGCAUAACGGACGGACGCUCCACGGACGCAGGGGAAAGUGGCGCAUGCGCAAACCAGGAACCAGACUUAGGGUGUCAUCAGAGGAGGAACAGAAAAGGCUUGAUGGCAGUGAACAUAACCAGCUCAGUGGCAGACUUCCUAGCAGGGAGAGGGGAGAAGUCGCCUGUCUGUCCGCGGAUGCCUGGACGGGAGCC
Long non-coding RNA from Fukomys damarensis (Damara mole-rat), 215 nucleotides. RefSeq lists it as uncharacterized. Lineage: Eukaryota; Metazoa; Chordata; Mammalia; Rodentia; Bathyergidae. The transcript has 3 exons. The record is from RefSeq and is a predicted model, not a curated record.